AUGACCCAUAGACAGUUCGGAGCCUUUGGACCGGAAAUUGAGCACACAACAUACAUCAGUUUUCACAGGGAGUCCUGCAAGGUCACGCUCUACGCACCUUGCACGUCUCAGCGCCGCCACAUCCCAGCGCCUUCCACGCAAAGCUUCUUCUCCCUGCAAAGCUCCGCCGCCAACACAUAUUUAGGCAUAUGGUACCACAACAUCUCGGAGCGAACAUACGUGUGGGUGGCCAACCGCGACAACCCGAUCACGAGCAGCUUGCCCGGGAAGCUGGUCGCGAGCAACACCUCUGACCUCGUCUUGUCCGACUCCGACGACCGUGUCCUCUGGGCGACGAAGACGAACAACGUCACCACCGCGGGAUCAGGUGGCAGAGGUGCGGUGGCGGUGCUGCUCGACACCGGAAACUUUGUUCUCCGGUCGCGGAACGGCAUGAAGAUAUGGCAGAGCUACGAUCAGCCAACUGACACCUUUCUUCCGGGAUUCAAGCUGUGGGUGAACUACAAGACCCACGUAGCAGCGCGCAUCGUUGCGUGGAAGGGCCCUGACGACCCGUCCACCGGCGAGUUCGUCUUGAGCGGCGACACCAGCACGGGCCUCCAGAUCCUGACCUGGUGA
This 618-nucleotide ribosomal RNA is filed under the name Triticum aestivum (bread wheat). Its description in RNAcentral is "partial small subunit ribosomal RNA". Lineage: Eukaryota; Viridiplantae; Streptophyta; Magnoliopsida; Poales; Poaceae. The record is from RNAcentral.